CGGAGCAUUGAGAGCUUGCUUUUAAUGCUUAGUGGCGAACGGGUGAGUAACGCGUGAGGAACCUGCCUCAAAGAGGGGGACAACAGUUGGAAACGACUGCUAAUACCGCAUAAGCCCACGGGACCGCAUGGUCCAGAGGGAAAAGGAGCAAUCCGCUUUGAGAUGGCCUCGCGUCCGAUUAGCUAGUUGGUGAGGUAACGGCCCACCAAGGCGACGAUCGGUAGCCGGACUGAGAGGUUGAACGGCCACAUUGGGACUGAGACACGGCCCAGACUCCUACGGGAGGCAGCAGUGGGGAAUAUUGCACAAUGGGGGAAACCCUGAUGCAGCGACGCCGCGUGGAGGAAGAAGGUCUUCGGAUUGUAAACUCCUGUUGUUGAGGACGAUAAUGACGGUACUCAACAAGGAAGUGACGGCUAACUACGUGCCAGCAGCCGCGGUAAAACGUAGGUCACAAGCGUUGUCCGG
Molecule: ribosomal RNA, 468 nt
Filed under: uncultured bacterium
Lineage: Bacteria
Description: bacterial SSU rRNA
Rfam family: Bacterial small subunit ribosomal RNA
Source: RNAcentral